CCUACGGGAGGCAGCAGUGAGGAAUAUUGGUCAAUGGGCGCGAGCCUGACCCAGCCAAGUAGCGUGAAGGAUGACUGCCCUACGGGUUGUAAAUUUCUUUUAUAAAGGAAUAUAGUGAGGCACGUGUGCCUUUUUGUCUGUACUUUAUGAAUAAGGAUCGGCUAACUCCGUGCCAGCAGCCGCGGUAAUACGGAGGAUCCGAGCGUUAUCCGGAUUUAUUGGGUUUAAAGGGAGCGUAGAUGGGUUGUUAAGUCAGUUGUGAAAGUUUGCGGCUCAACCGUAAAAUUGCAAUUGAUACUGGCAGUCUUGAGUACAGUUGAGGUAGGCGGAAUUCGUGGUGUAGCGGUGAAAUGCGUAGAUAUCACGAGGAACACCGAUUGCGAAGGCAGCUUACUAAACUGCCACUGACAUUGAUGCGCGAAAGUGUGGGUAUCAAACAGGAUUAGAUACCCCGGUAGUC
This 460-nucleotide ribosomal RNA is filed under the name uncultured bacterium. RNAcentral describes it as "partial 16S ribosomal RNA". It matches the Rfam family "Bacterial small subunit ribosomal RNA", at positions 338 to 795 of the family's 1533-position model. The record is from RNAcentral.